Long non-coding RNA from Nannospalax galili (Upper Galilee mountains blind mole rat), 2261 nucleotides. RefSeq lists it as uncharacterized. Lineage: Eukaryota; Metazoa; Chordata; Mammalia; Rodentia; Spalacidae. The record is from RefSeq and is a predicted model, not a curated record. The transcript is spliced from 2 exons.
UAUAUAGUACUUUUUAAAAAAAAAAAACAAAAUAUAGCUCUCAAAAAAAAUUUAAGGACACAUGGUUUUCAGUACUCCUGGGGCAUGCACAUUGGUCAUUUUAUUAGCAGCACCUCCCCCAGUCCCACUGUAUUUUCUAGCUGGUUAUUAGUAAUACAUUUUUUAAAGUUUUUAAAGUUAUUUUCAGUAGAUUAGUUCAUGAUAAAUACAUAUUACCAUAUCAUGUGAUUUUUUUUUCUCCUGUUACUUUACAAACCUUUAUUCUGAGGUAUUUUAGGUGUUUCUAUGACAUGUUCUGCAUUUUCUUCGUGCAUACAUAAGCACUGUUGUCAUAGACAAAGUAUUUACAACUCUAUGUAUCACAUAUCUCUUAAUGGUUCACUUUCUUAACACUACUAAUUGAAUUUAUAAAACACUUGUAAACAGUAAUACUAGAAAUCAACCUCUUAUUACUUUUGUCUUUAAUAUUUCACCAUUAAACAUUCUGGCUGUUAGUAUUACACAUUUUCAUUGCUUUAUCACCUUUUUAUACUUAAGUUUAUAGUCUCAGCAAAUGCCUAUUCAACAUCUACCAGAUAAACAUAUUUCUAUUAAAAUGAAAAAUUGUUUAAAAAUUUUCCUCAAACUUCCUUGGUUUUGUUUUUAGACAGUCUCGUUGUAGCCCCAGCUAGUCUGGAACUCACCAUGCAGACAAGGUUAGCUGAUCUCACAGAGAUUGGCCUGCCUCUGCCUUCUGAGUGCAAUGAUUAAAGACAUGCAAUACCCAGCACAGCUACCUCUUUGCAUUCUUAUGAUGAUCUCUACUUUAUGCUAAUGCUCUAAAUUUAUUUUUAGUGUAUUUUUAUUCUUUGAGAGUUUCAUAUAAGUAUAUACUGUACUUUCAUAAUAUGUUAAUCUCUUAAUGAAAAGCUGAAUGCUAUUUCCUCCUAUCUCCCUUAGAAACUUCAAAAUAUCUCAUGCCAUAUGUGGUGGUGCAUGCCUGUAAUCCCAGCAGUAGGAAGAAGAGGCAGGUGGAUCUCUGUGAGCUCAAGGCCAGACUGGUCUCCACAGCGAAUCCAGGUCAGCUGGGGCUACGGGGAGACCCUGUUUCAAAAAGGACCGCCCCCUAAAAAAAGAAAUCUCAAACUAUCUUUUAUUACAAAAUAGUAUUUUUAUUCACUGAGAACUUCAUGCAAUACGUUUUGAUCAUAUUCACCUCCCUCCCCCAUCUCCUCUCAAAACAUCCACACCUCCCCACACACCCCUGUAGUAUCUUUUUAUAAUUUUAUUUACUUAUUUUUAUGUGUAUGAGUGUUUUGUCUGCAUGGAUGUGAGUGCACAUGUGUGUGCAAUACCCAUGGAGAUCAGAAGAGCGGUGAACUGAAGUUAUGGGCAGCUGUGAGCUACCACGUAGGUUUUGAACCUGGGUGCUUUGCAAGAGCAGCUAGGGCUCUAACUACUGUGCUCUCUCUCCAGACCCACAAAGUAACACCUUACAGAAAUUUUUCAUGCUGUCUUUUCCAAGUAUGAGUGCUUGCAUAUAUAUGUAUAAAGCUCCAGGAAGUUUUAUUCCUUCAGAGUAAAAAAAUGGUUAAUUUAAAUCAGUUUUCCACUUAGUGCUUGAAGGAACCUGUAUAAAUUCUUUACCUUUCUAUGGCUCAGUUUUCUUAAUCAUAAAUAGGAGACACUGAAUUGUUAUGAAGUCUGAGAAAAUUCAGGAGAAUUUUUUUUUAAAUGUUUUAUGUGUAUAACUAUUUUCCCCUUAUAAGUGCAGCAGUGUCAUGCAGUGCCUGCGGAGGCCAGAAGAGGGCAUCAGAUCCUCUGGAACUGGAAUUUCAGGCAAUUGUUAGCCCUGUGGAUGCUGGAAAUGGAACCGAGGUUGUCUGGAAGAACAGCGUGUGCACAUGCCACAUUGGGGCAGAGGUCAGAGAACAACUUUCAGAAGUGGAUUCUCUCCUUCCACCUUGUGGGUCCUGAGGAUUAACCUCGGGUUGUUAGGCCUAGUGGCAAGAGCUUUUACUUACUAAGCCAUCUCACUGGCCCUACUGCUCUUUUUUCAUGUAUUAAAAUUUUUUACACCCAAGAGACUUCAUUUCCACCUUUACAUUCCAACUUUAUUUCAUUUAGAGAAAAUGCUCUGUGAUUCCUUGAGAAUUUGUAUACUCUUUUUCUUGUAAAUGUUCAAGUUAGCACUGAAAAGUAUAACUCUUAUUUGGGGGAAUACAGGUUCUUCACUAUUCUAGUUUACUUGCCUAUCACACAAUAAAAAAGGAAAAAUAAAA